RNAcentral lists this ribosomal RNA (1382 nucleotides) under Enterococcus faecalis. RNAcentral describes it as "partial 23S ribosomal RNA". It matches the Rfam family "Bacterial large subunit ribosomal RNA", at positions 146 to 1530 of the family's 2925-position model. The record is from RNAcentral. Lineage: Bacteria; Bacillati; Bacillota; Bacilli; Lactobacillales; Enterococcaceae.
UAUUACUUUUCAGUGAAUACAUAGCUGAUUAGAGGUAGACGCAGAGAACUGAAACAUCUUAGUACCUGCAGGAAGAGAAAGAAAAUUCGAUUCCCUGAGUAGCGGCGAGCGAAACGGGAAGAGCCCAAACCAACAAGCUUGCUUGUUGGGGUUGUAGGACUCCGAUAUGGUAGUCUGUUAGUAUAGUUGAAGGAUUUGGAAAAUUCCGCUAAAGAGGGUGAAAGCCCCGUAGACGAAAUGCUGACAACACCUAGGAGGAUCCUGAGUACGGCGGAACACGAGAAAUUCCGUCGGAAUCCGCGGGGACCAUCCCGCAAGGCUAAAUACUCCCUAGUGACCGAUAGUGAACCAGUACCGUGAGGGAAAGGUGAAAAGCACCCCGGAAGGGGAGUGAAAUAGAUCCUGAAACCGUGUGCCUACAACAAGUCAAAGCUCGUUAAUGAGUGAUGGCGUGCCUUUUGUAGAAUGAACCGGCGAGUUACGAUUGCAUGCGAGGUUAAGUCGAAGAGACGGAGCCGCAGCGAAAGCGAGUCUGAAUAGGGCGAAUGAGUAUGUAGUCGUAGACCCGAAACCAUGUGAUCUACCCAUGUCCAGGUUGAAGGUGCGGUAAAACGCACUGGAGGACCGAACCCACGUACGUUGAAAAGUGCGGGGAUGAGGUGUGGGUAGCGGAGAAAUUCCAAACGAACUUGGAGAUAGCUGGUUCUCUCCGAAAUAGCUUUAGGGCUAGCCUCGGAAUUGAGAAUGAUGGAGGUAGAGCACUGUUUGGACUAGGGGCCCAUCUCGGGUUACCGAAUUCAGAUAAACUCCGAAUGCCAUUCAUUUAUAUCCGGGAGUCAGACUGCGAGUGAUAAGAUCCGUAGUCGAAAGGGAAACAGCCCAGACCACCAGCUAAGGUCCCAAAAUAUAUGUUAAGUGGAAAAGGAUGUGGGGUUGCACAGACAACUAGGAUGUUGGCUUAGAAGCAGCCACCAUUUAAAGAGUGCGUAAUAGCUCACUAGUCGAGUGACCCUGCGCCGAAAAUGUACCGGGGCUAAACAUAUUACCGAAGCUGUGGACUACACCAUUAGGUGUAGUGGUAGGAGAGCGUUCUAAGGGCGUUGAAGGUCGAUCGUGAGGACGGCUGGAGCGCUUAGAAGUGAGAAUGCCGGUAUGAGUAGCGAAAGACAGGUGAGAAUCCUGUCCACCGUAUGACUAAGGUUUCCUGGGGAAGGCUCGUCCGCCCAGGGUUAGUCGGGACCUAAGCCGAGGCCGAUAGGCGUAGGCGAUGGACAACAGGUUGAUAUUCCUGUACCAGUUGUUUUUGUUUGAGCAAUGGAGGGACGCAGUAGGCUAAGGAAUGCAUGCGAUUGGAAGUGCAUGUCCAAGCAAUGAGUCUUGAG